UACAGAGGUCCCCAAGCGUUGUUCGGAUUCACUGGGCGUAAAGGGUGCGUAGGUGGUUUGGUAAGUCCGGUGUGAAAUCUCCGAGCUCAACUCGGAAAAUGCAUUGGAUACUACCAGACUUGAGGGUCGGAGGGGAGACUGGAAUUCUCGGUGUAGCAGUGAAAUGCGUAGAUAUCGAGAGGAACACCAGUGGCGAAGGCGAGUCUCUGGACGACUCCUGACACUGAGGCACGAAAGCUAGGGGAGCAAACAGGAUUAGAUACCCGAGUAGU
This 272-nucleotide ribosomal RNA is filed under the name uncultured bacterium. RNAcentral's name for it is "partial 16S ribosomal RNA". It matches the Rfam family "Bacterial small subunit ribosomal RNA", at positions 524 to 794 of the family's 1533-position model. The record is from RNAcentral.